GAUGAACGCUGGCGGCGUGCCUAAUACAUGCAAGUCGAGCGAACGGACGAGAAGCUUGCUUCUCUGAUGUUAGCGGCGGACGGGUGAGUAACACGUGGAUAACCUACCUAUGAGACUGGGAUAACUUCGGGAAACCGUAGCUAAUACCGGAUAAUAUUUUGAACCGCAUGGUUCAAAAGUGAAAGACGGUCUUGCUGUCACUUAUAGAUGGAUCCGCGCUGCAUUAGCUAGUUGGUAAGGUAACGGCUUACCAAGGCAACGAUGCAUAGCCGACCUGAGAGGGUGAUCGGCCACACUGGAACUGAGACACGGUCCAGACUCCUACGGGAGGCAGCAGUAGGGAAUCUUCCGCAAUGGGCGAAAGCCUGACGGAGCAACGCCGCGUGAGUGAUGAAGGUCUUCGGAUCGUAAAACUCUGUUAUUAGGGAAGAACAUAUGUGUAAGUAACUGUGCACAUCUUGACGGUACCUAAUCAGAAAGCCACGGCUAACUACGUG
RNAcentral lists this ribosomal RNA (497 nucleotides) under uncultured bacterium. Its description in RNAcentral is "partial 16S ribosomal RNA". It matches the Rfam family "Bacterial small subunit ribosomal RNA", at positions 28 to 507 of the family's 1533-position model. The record is from RNAcentral.